Molecule: small RNA, 109 nt
Filed under: Marmota monax (woodchuck)
Lineage: Eukaryota; Metazoa; Chordata; Mammalia; Rodentia; Sciuridae
Source: RNAcentral
GCCAGGGGUGGUGUGAUGCAUGCCUGUAAUUCCAGCAACUCAGGAGGCUGAGGCAGGAGGAUCACAAGUUUGAGGACUAUCUUGGCAACUUAGUUAUACCCUGUCUCAA